This is an RNA transcript of Lemur catta (Ring-tailed lemur), 2577 nucleotides long. It is a transcript of the gene named DDB1 and CUL4 associated factor 4, with no coding region annotated. The transcript is spliced from 15 exons. NCBI's taxonomy places the organism in Eukaryota, Metazoa, Chordata, Mammalia, Primates, Lemuridae. The record is from RefSeq and is a predicted model, not a curated record.
UGCUGGGGCUGGGUCGGGCUCCGUGGCGCGUGGGGCCUGGCGAGUUCUGUGGAGUUGGAUCUGCCCUCGUAGGGUGAGGGCACCCGAGUUUAAGGUACCCCGAGACCUGUCGCUGCGCAGGGCCUGAGUGGAAGAGCGUUUUCCCAAGCCCUGAGGAACAGAAAUGAGUAAAAGGUGGCCAACUAGGAGACGACAUGGGAGAAGAAUCUAUCAGCAGAACCCUUGGUUCAGACUACGCAAUUCUAACGAGAGGCAUGACUCAGGAGCACUGCAGAGCACUCAGGAUUCUGGUCCAGGUGAUGAUGAGUCCCCAUCAACCUCAUCUGGUGUAGCUGGAAGUUCUUCUGCGCCAGACCUACCAGGGUAUUACUUCGACCCUGAAAAGAAACGCUACUUUCGCUUGCUUCCUGGACAUAACAACUGCAACCCCCUUACGAAUGAGAGCAUCCGGCAUAAGGAAAUGGAGAAAAAAAGACUGCAGCUGCUCGAGGAAGAGGACAAGCAGAAAAAGAAAAUAGCCAGAUUGGGAUUUAAUGCAUCUUCCAUGCUGCGAAAAAGCCAGCUGGGUUUUCUCAGUGUCACCAGUUAUUGCCGUUUAGCCCAUGAGCUGCGUGUGAGCUGCAUGCAAAGGAAGAAGGUCCACAUUCACAGCUCGGAUCCCUCUGCUUUGGCAAGCGACCAAUUUAACCUCAUACUGGCGGAUACCAACAGUGACCGGCUCUUCACAGUGAACGAUGUCAAAGUUGGAGGCUCCAAGUACGGCAUCAUCAACCUGCGCGGUCUGAAGACCCCCUCACUCAGGGUGCACAUGCACGAAAACCUCUACUUCACCAACCGGAAGGUGAAUUCUGUGUGCUGGGCUUCGCUGAAUCACUUGGAUUCCCACAUUCUGCUGUGCCUCAUGGGACUUGCAGAGACUCCAGGCUGUGCCACCCUGCUCCCAGCGUCACUGUUCGUCAGUAGUCACCCAGCAGGAGUGGACCGGCCUGGCAUGCUCUGCAGUUUCCGGAUCCCUGGUGCCUGGUCCUGUGCAUGGUCCCUGAACAUCCAGGCAAAUAACUGCUUCAGUACAGGCUUGUCUCGGCGUGUCCUGCUAACCAAUGUGGUGACGGGGCACCGGCAGUCGUUUGCGACCAGCAGUGAUGUCUUGACCCAGCAGUUUGCUCUCUUGGCUCCUUUGCUGUUUAAUGGCUGUCGCUCCGGGGAGAUCUUUGCCAUUGAUCUGCGUUGUGGAAACCAAGGCAAGAGGUGGAAAGCCACCCGCCUGUUCCAGGACUCAGCAGUGACCUCUGUGCAAAUCCUCCAAGAAGAGGAAUGUGUGAUGGCAUCAGACAUGGCUGGAAAGAUCAAGCUGUGGGACCUGAGGGCCAUGAAGUGUAUAAGGCAGUACGAAGGCCACGUGAAUGAGUAUGCCUACCUGCCCUUGCACGUGCAUGAGGAAGAAGGAAUCGUGGUGGCAGUCGGCCAGGACUGCUACACAAGAAUCUGGAGCCUCCAUGAUGCCCAGCUCCUCAGAACCAUACCCUCUCCGUACCCCACCUCCAAAGCCGACAUUCCCAGCGUGGCCUUCUCUUCACGGCUUGGGGGCUUUCGGGGAGCGCCAGGGCUGCUUAUGGCUGUCCAGCGGGACCUUUAUUGUUUCUCCUACAGCUAAUUCUGCAGGGUGCAGCCAGGAGGAAUGUGGAUUGACUUAGGGAAGUAAAGAGUGGCUUAUUACUGUUUCUAAUGAGGGCAUUUUAAAUGACACAGAUCCCAUCCAUCUGGCUGCUGGGGGCAAGGUGCUGAGUGUUUUAUGUGGAGACACUUCAGCAAAGUUGUUUCAGUUAAAUAGUGUGCUCAGAAGCUUGAAAGUCCUUUUCAUAAAAGGUACCUCUUUCCUUUUCUUGUUGAAUUCCUUAGAGUAGUGUCUGUCCCCCUUUUUUUGUUUAACAGAAAAACCUACAUCCAAGGACUGAAGGUUGGUGAAAACUAUAGUAACCAAAUUAAAGCUGCUGCUCUCACCGCAAGCUGUUUGGGAGAAGCCUAAUGCUGAGACCGGUCACUAGGAAUACCUAUUUUAAACCUAGAAAUGACAAAUGAGGAGUAAUACCCAGUCUCUGCCACUGAGAGAAGAGUCUCCCCACGCCAUGACCUUGAUAUGACAGCUACAGUGUGGCACUCAGAGAAGCCAAGCCACAAAACCGCUUCCCGAGCUGCGCGCACCCGCCUCGCUGCCCACCCCGGGCCAGGCCAGCGCAGCCCAGCCUGUGCUGCGGCUCCCACCCAACACUCACCCCCACUGGGGGAAGGCCAAGGAACAGCCACAUACAGGACGCCUAUGUGAUGAGUGAGCACUUGUGGAACCGUACAGUCGCUAGAAAAAAUCCUGUGACCAAUCAGCUCUCAUCUCUUCUAAAUAAAGGAAUAUUCAUGACAAUCCACAAAGUUCUGGUCCCAGUAAGCAGACUGAUCAGGGACAUGCCAUCUACCUAAAAGCUGGGGGGGAACAAUCUGUUGUCAUGAGAUUAAAACCCACUCCAUAUGACAAUGGAUUUGUGGUAUUUUGCAAUGCUUUUUCUUAAAGUUAUGUGUCAGAAU